UCUUGACGUUAGCAACAGAAGAAGCACCGGCUAACUCCGUGCCAGCAGCCGCGGUAAUACGGAGGGUGCGAGCGUUAAUCGGAAUUACUGGGCGUAAAGCGCAUGCAGGUGGUUCAUUAAGUCAGAUGUGAAAGCCCGGGGCUCAACCUCGGAACUGCAUUUGAAACUGGUGAACUAGAGUACUGUAGAGGGGGGUAGAAUUUCAGGUGUAGCGGUGAAAUGCGUAGAG
This 229-nucleotide ribosomal RNA is filed under the name Vibrio cyclitrophicus ZF28. RNAcentral's name for it is "partial 16S ribosomal RNA". It matches the Rfam family "Bacterial small subunit ribosomal RNA", at positions 467 to 695 of the family's 1533-position model. Lineage: Bacteria; Pseudomonadati; Pseudomonadota; Gammaproteobacteria; Vibrionales; Vibrionaceae. The record is from RNAcentral.